GGCGUCUGGGUGGUCCCUGAGACCCGCGCCUGUACUUAGGCUUAGCGUCCGGGCCACCUAUACCUAGCGCCUGUCCCUUAGGGGGUGGAAGGAAGGCCGAAACCUCCAAGCGGGUGUUGAUUCACUGUCGGUGUGUGUCGCGAGCUAGUCGCUCUUCUUUCCUACUGCGGUCUAAACUAUGUGCGCAGUAGGUCUCCCGUGUGUUCCCUGUACGGCUCUGUCAGUCGUGGUGUCACGAGUUUGGGUCCUCGCCUAAUACACAAUAUGCGUCUGUGUUUCAACUUUAACAUUCAACAUUACUUAAACAUUUUAAAGGAGAGAGUAAGAGGAAAAAAGAAAAACUUUAAACAUAGGAUAUGCAUUUUGUGCCUGGGCACUGCAGUGGCACCUGUCCCUUGUUGUGUAUGCCUGUCCCCGUGUGAACCUGGGUCAUGCUUUCCAGGCCAUGGUUUUCAGGACCCCUACCUUCUCCAUCUCUAACCCCAGAUUCAGCAUUCAUGAAGGUGGCCGGGCCCCCGACCCUCCCAUCUUUACCUUUUAGUGGUUUUUGUUGGCGGUGGGGCCUAAUCGAGAGUCCGGGUGAGCUCUCCGCAUGUGUGGGCUGACUAUCUUUUCCUUCUGAGCCUCUCCUGACCCGUGGACCUGUCCCGGGUUCGUCUGACCUCUGACUGUGUGUGUCCCAUGACUAGGUCUGAUGCCCGAGCGAGCCGGGCCCCCGACCCCCCGCCUGCUCCCGAUGGGUCAUCACAGGCACGCCAGGGGGGUGCGGUUGCCCAGCCCGGUCCGGGAUCCCCUCCCUCCGGUCCGUGUCUAUCUGGGUGGGCUAUGUUACUCUCCCAUCCCUGCUACUCCCCCCUUAGUGUUCUCGUGUCCCCCGACCCCAUGGUAGUUCUCUGUGCUACGCUUGUCAUGGGCUAGCCUACCGGCCACCUGGCCACCAACCCUUGGUAUUUACAUCGACAUUUAGUACUUGCGUGCAUGAUAUUUAGGGUCUAGUUAAGUUCAAGUGUCCUCUCCUCCUGCCCAGCGUAUUUCAGCGUGGCGGAGUAGCCCGUCUCGAGUCCGUGAUGUGCUCGUGAGUCCUGUGCCGGGUGUUCAGUGUAGGCUGGGAGAUUCUGUCUCCGUUAUUGUAGUGUUCUCCGUUGGAUGUUGUCUCGUGUGUCUCAAUCCAGUGUCGUGUGUGGUGGUCGGAACCGGGGGCUCGCCGGUGAUGGCCUCUGCUCAGGGCAGGAUGGGGCGAGGUCGAGUUGUCUUGACUGGUCUGGGCUGAGGUCCUUUUCUGUAGGCCAGGUGGGGGAUUCCUCUAGUUGGUCGUCUCGGUAUCUGCUCUGGGGUUCGUGGUGCAGGUGCCAUGCAAAUGUCCCGUUGGUCUAGUGGCCUCGAGGGC
Molecule: non-coding RNA, 1387 nt
Organism: Pelobates cultripes (western spadefoot toad)
Lineage: Eukaryota; Metazoa; Chordata; Amphibia; Anura; Pelobatidae
Source: the annotation of a GenBank genome assembly